Molecule: ribosomal RNA, 1191 nt
Filed under: uncultured bacterium
Lineage: Bacteria
Description: bacterial SSU rRNA
Rfam family: Bacterial small subunit ribosomal RNA
Source: RNAcentral
UCUCUCCACAAGAUGUUUAUGAGUGAGUAGCCGCCAAGAGAGAGGCACCCGGCACAACCGGGGGUUGAGAUUGGGCCCAAUCUUCUAGGAAGCAGCAGGUGAGAAUAUGCACAUGGCCCAAGCUUGAUGCAGAACGCGCUGCGGGAUGACGCUCCGGGUGUAAUCGCUUCAGUAGGGACGAUGCUACGUGAUGUACUACAGAGACGACCGGCUACUACGUGCCAGCAGCACAGAUGAUACGUAGGGUCCGAGCGUCGUCCUGGAAUUAUUGGGUGUAAAGGGCUUGUAGGCGGUCCGUCGCGUCAGGAGUGAAACUCGGGGCUUAACCCCGAGCCUGCUUUGAUACGGGCGGACUAGAGUGAUGCAGGGAGACCGGAAUUCCUGGUGGAGCGGUGGAAUGCGCAGAUAUCAGGAGGAACACCGGUGGCGAAGGCGGUUCUCUGGGCAUUACCUGACGCUGAGAAGCGAAAGCGUGGGGAGCAAACAGGCUUAGAUAUCCCUGGUAGCCACGCCGUAAACGGGGGGCACUAGGUGUGGGGGACAUUACACGUUCUCCGUGCCGAAGCUAACGCAUUAAGUGCCCCGCCUGGGGAGUACGGCCGCAAGGCUAAAACUCAAAGGAAUUGACGGGGGCCCGCACAAGCGGCGGAGCAUGCGGAUUAAUUCGAUGCAACGCGAAGAACCUUACCUGGGUUUGACAUACACCGGAAAGCUGCAGAGAUGUAGCCCCCGCAAGGUCGGUGUACAGGUGGUGCAUGGCUGUCGUCAGCUCGUGUCGUGAGAUGUUGGGUUAAGUCCCGCAACGAGCGCAACCCUCGUCCUAUGUUGCCAGCACGUCAUGGUGGGGACUCAUAGGAGACUGCCGGGGUCAACUCGGAGGAAGGUGGGGAUGACGUCAAGUCAUCAUGCCCCUUAAGUCCAGGGCUUCACGCAUGCUACAAUGGCCGGUACAAAGGGCUGCGAUACCGCAAGGUGGAGCGAAUCCCAAAAAGCCGGUCUCAGUUCGGAUUGGGGUCUGCAACUCGACCCCAUGAAGUCGGAGUCGCUAGUAAUCGCAGAUCAGCAACGCUGCGGUGAAUACGUUCCCGGGCCUUGUACACACCGCCCGUCAAGUCAUGAAAGUCGGUAACACCCGAAGCCGGUGGCCCAACCCUUGUGGAGGGAGCCGUCUAAGGUGGUCUGCGAUGUCCU